GACGAACGCUGGCGGCGUGCUUAACACAUGCAAGUCGAACGGAUAGGCCCUGCCUUUCUGGGGUGCUCCCGUGGCGAACUGGUUAGUAACCCGUGAGUAACCUGCCCUUGACUUUGGGAUUACUUCAGGGAAAUGGGGCUAAUACCGGAUCGGAUCUCCUGCUGCAUGGUGUGGGUUGGAAAGUUUCGGCGGUUGGGGUUGUUCUUGCGGUUUAUCAGUUUGUUGGUGGGGUUGUGGCUUACCGAGGCUUUGCCGGGUAGCCGGCCUGCGAGGGUGACCGGCCACAUUGGGACUGGGAUACGGCCCAUACUCCUACGGGAGGCAGCAGUGGGGAAUAGUGCACGAUGGGCGGAAGCCUGAUGCAGCAACGCCGCGUGCUGGAUGACGGCCUUCGGGUUGUAAACCGCUUUCGCCUGUGACGAAGCGUGAGUGACGGUAAUGGGUAAAGAAGCACCGGCUAACUACGUG
RNAcentral lists this ribosomal RNA (468 nucleotides) under uncultured bacterium. Its description in RNAcentral is "partial 16S ribosomal RNA". It matches the Rfam family "Bacterial small subunit ribosomal RNA", at positions 28 to 507 of the family's 1533-position model. The record is from RNAcentral.